RNAcentral lists this ribosomal RNA (654 nucleotides) under Sarcocystis hjorti. RNAcentral describes it as "SSU rRNA". It matches the Rfam family "Eukaryotic small subunit ribosomal RNA", at positions 455 to 1077 of the family's 1831-position model. The record is from RNAcentral. Lineage: Eukaryota; Apicomplexa; Conoidasida; Eucoccidiorida; Sarcocystidae.
CUCAGGGAGGUAGUGACAAGAAAUAACAACACUGGAAAUUUUAUUUCUAGUGAUUGGAAUGAUGGGAAUUUAAACCCCUUUCAGAGUAACAAUUGGAGGGCAAGUCUGGUGCCAGCAGCCGCGGUAAUUCCAGCUCCAAUAGCGUAUAUUAAAGUUGUUGCAGUUAAAAAGCUCGUAGUUGGAUGUCUGCUGGAAGCAAUCAGUCCGCCCUAUUUGUAGGGUGUGCACUUGAUGAAUUCUGGCAUCUAUGUCCUAAUGUGAUAGAUACGGCGGUGUAUAUGGGUUAAUCCUAUAUACCCGUUUUUGUAUAUUAUAUUGGGAUAAUACCGUUACUUUGAGAAAAUUAGAGUGUUUGAAGCAGGCUAAUUGCCUUGAAUACUGCAGCAUGGAAUAACAAUAUAGGAUUUCGGUUCUAUUUUGUUGGUUUCUAGGACUGAAAUAAUGAUUAAUAGGGACAGUUGGGGGCAUUCGUAUUUAACUGUCAGAGGUGAAAUUCUUAGAUUUGUUAAAGACGAACUACUGCGAAAGCAUUUGCCAAAGAUGUUUUCACUAAUCAAGAACGAAAGUUAGGGGCUCGAAGACGAUCAGAUACCGUCGUAGUCUUAACCAUAAACUAUGCCGACUAGAGAUAGGAAAAUGUCAUUUUUCUGACUU